GACUGAAGACCAGGACACAGACUGGUAGACCUAACUGGGAUAAGAUAUUUAAAGAGCUAAAGGAGAGUGGAUAUGGACCAGUGACAGUAUUCUAUUGUGGGUCACCAGUACUGGCUAGAGUAUUAUCAGUGAAGUCUCAAUAUUAUGGAUUUAAAUUUAGAAAAGAAAA
Molecule: long non-coding RNA, 169 nt
Organism: Amphimedon queenslandica
Lineage: Eukaryota; Metazoa; Porifera; Demospongiae; Haplosclerida; Niphatidae
Exons: 2
Source: RefSeq, a predicted model, not a curated record